RNAcentral lists this ribosomal RNA (253 nucleotides) under uncultured bacterium. RNAcentral describes it as "partial 16S ribosomal RNA". It matches the Rfam family "Bacterial small subunit ribosomal RNA", at positions 524 to 776 of the family's 1533-position model. The record is from RNAcentral.
UACGUAGGGUGCAAGCGUUAAUCGGAAUUACUGGGCGUAAAGCGUGCGCAGGCGGUGAUGUAAGACAGAUGUGAAAUCCCCGGGCUUAACCUGGGAAUGGCAUUGGUGACUGUACGGCUAGAGUGUGUCAGAGGGGGGUAGAAUUCCACGUGUAGCAGUGAAAUGCGUAGAGAUGUGGAGGAAUACCGAUGGCGAAGGCAGCCCCCUGGGAUAACACUGACGCUCAUGCACGAAAGCGUGGGGAGCAAACAGG